Molecule: ribosomal RNA, 301 nt
Filed under: uncultured bacterium
Lineage: Bacteria
Description: partial 16S ribosomal RNA
Rfam family: Bacterial small subunit ribosomal RNA
Source: RNAcentral
CAGUAGCCACGGGAAUACGUAGGGUGCAAGCGUUAAUCGGAAUUACUGGGAGUAAAGCGUGCGCAGGCGGUUUUGUAAGACAGAGGUGAAAUCCCCGGGCUCAACCUGGGAACUGCCUUUGUGACUGCAAGGCUAGAGUACGGCAGAGGGGGAUGGAAUUCCGCGUGUAGCAGUGAAAUGCGUAGAUAUGCGGAGGAACACCGAUGGCGAAGGCAAUCCCCUGGGCCUGUACUGACGAUCAUGCACGAAAGCGUGGGGAGCAAACAGGAUUAGAUACCCCCGUAGUCCCUGUCUCUUAUAC